CAUGUCCUUUUGAUUAUAAUUUAAGGUCUAAUCUGCCCACUGAGUAAUUGAAUGGCCGCGGUAUUUUGACCGUGCAAAGGUAGCAUAAUAAUUAGUUUUUUAAUUGAAAGCUGGAAUGAAAGAUUGAAUGAGAAAAUAACUGUCUCAAUUUAAAUUUAGUAUAAUUUUAUUUUUAAGUAAAAAAGCUUAAAUAAUUUUAAAAGACGAGAAGACCCUAUAGAGUUUAAUAAUUAAUAAUAAUUUAAAUUAUUUGUUUUUAAUAUUUAAAUAAAUAUUAAUUAUUUUGUUGGGGUGACAAAAAAAUUAAAUUAACUUUUUUUUUAUUUAAAUACAAAUAUGUAAAUUUUUGAUCUAAAAUUUUUGAUUAUAAGAUAAAAUUACCUUAGGGAUAACAGCGUAAUUUUUUUUGAGAGUUCUUAUUGAAAAAAAAGAUUGCGACCUCGAUGUUGGAUUAAAGUAAAAAUUUGGUGUAGAAGCUAAAUAUUUAGGUCUGUUCGACCUUUAAAACUUUACAUGAUCUGAGU
RNAcentral lists this ribosomal RNA (524 nucleotides) under Cladiscus obeliscus. RNAcentral's name for it is "partial 16S ribosomal RNA". The stretch from base 388 to 524 matches the Rfam family "Bacterial large subunit ribosomal RNA", at positions 2473 to 2610 of the family's 2925-position model. The record is from RNAcentral. Lineage: Eukaryota; Metazoa; Arthropoda; Insecta; Coleoptera; Cleridae.